GGAGUUUUACGACAAACAGCUUAAAGUGCUCACUGCCGGAGGAACUUUCCUGGUCAAAGUGGAUUCCUCAGAGAAAUCGGAGACCAUGGUCUGCCGUUUGUCCAAUAAUCACAGGUAUCUCUUCCUAGAUGGUGAGAGUCAUUUUGAGGUGGAGCUGUCUCGCAUUUCCAGUAUGCAGGUGUUGACUGAGGGCUCAACCCCGGGAGGUGAGGCUUUAUGUGGACAAACUUUUCACAGCAAUACAAACAUUGAUUUUUGAGACAAUUCUCUGGACACUAGCCAAAUGUAAUAACAGAAAACAGGAUCAAAAACUUGUUAGUGAUUUUAGCACAUUUGCUAGCAUUGCGUACACUCUGAAUAGAUACAUUACAUUAUUUUUAUGCAUCUGAUCGACGCUUUUAUC
Molecule: long non-coding RNA, 403 nt
Organism: Sinocyclocheilus anshuiensis
Lineage: Eukaryota; Metazoa; Chordata; Actinopteri; Cypriniformes; Cyprinidae
Exons: 3
Source: RefSeq, a predicted model, not a curated record